Molecule: ribosomal RNA, 252 nt
Filed under: uncultured bacterium
Lineage: Bacteria
Description: partial 16S ribosomal RNA
Rfam family: Bacterial small subunit ribosomal RNA
Source: RNAcentral
UACGGAGGAUGCGAGCGUUAUCCGGAUUUAUUGGGUUUAAAGGAUGCGUAGGCGGGAUGCCAAGUCAGCGGUAAAAAUGCGGUGCUCAACGCCGUCGAGCCGUUGAAACUGGCGUUCUUGAGUGGGCGAGAAGUAUGCGGAAUGCGUGGUGUAGCGGUGAAAUGCAUAGAUAUCACGCAGAACUCCGAUUGCGAAGGCAGCAUACCGGCGCCCUACUGACGCUGAGGCACGAAAGCGUGGGUAUCGAACAGG